Molecule: ribosomal RNA, 1008 nt
Filed under: uncultured bacterium
Lineage: Bacteria
Description: bacterial SSU rRNA
Rfam family: Bacterial small subunit ribosomal RNA
Source: RNAcentral
UGCAGUCGAACGGUAACGACGAAGACAAUCCCUUCGGGGUGCGUUUUCGGGCGACGAGUGGCGCACGGGUGAGUAACGCGUGGGAAUCUGCCCGACAGUGGGGGAUAGCCCGGGGAAACUCGGAUUAAUACCGCAUACGUCCUACGGGAGAAAGAUGGGGACCUCUUCGGAGGCCUGUCACUGACGGAUGAGCCUGCGUCUGAUUAGCUUGUUGGCGGGGUAAAAGCCCACCAAGGCGACGAUCAGUAGCUGGUCUGAGAGGACGACCAGUCACACUGGGACUGAGACACGGCCCAGACUCCUACGGGAGGCAGCAGUGGGGAAUAUUGGACAAUGGGCGCAAGCCUGAUCCAGCAAUGCCGCGUGUGUGAAGAAGGCCUGCGGGUUGUAAAGCACUUUCAGCGGGGAAGAAAAGCCGUGUGUGAAUAGCACGUGGUCUUGACAUUAUCCGCAGAAGAAGCACCGGCUAAUUCCGUGCCAGCAGCCGCGGUAAUACGGAAGGUGCAAGCGUUAAUCGGAAUUACUGGGCGUAAAGCGCGCGUAGGCGGUGCGGUAAGUCGGAUGUGAAAUCCCCGGGCUCAACCUGGGAAUUGCAUUCAAUACUGCCGCGCUUGAGUACGGUAGAGGGAAACGGAAUUCCGGGUGUAGCGGUGAAAUGCGUAGAUAUCCGGAGGAACACCAGUGGCGAAGGCGGUUUCCUGGUCCGAUACUGACGCUGAGGCGCGAAAGCGUGGGGAGCAAUCAGGAUUAGAUACCCUGGUAGUCCACGCCGUAAACGAUGUCUACCAGCCGUUGCCGGGCUCAGACCCGGCGGUGGCGAAGCUAACGCGUUAAGUAGACCGCCUGGGGAGUACGGCCGCAAGGCUAAAACUCAAAGGAAUCGACGGGGGCCCGCACAAGCGGUGGAGCAUGUGGUUUAAUUCGAUGCAACGCGAAGCACCUUACCCACCCUUGACAUCUUGUCGCGAACCCAGAGAUGGGUUCUUCAGUUUGGCUGGACAAAGACAG